CUUCUUCGAUCUGCUGCGGGCAGAUGAAGUGGAUAUGGCUGUCGAUGCCACCGGCGGUCACGAUCAUGCCCUCGCCGGCAAUGAUCUCGGUGGCGGCGCCGAUCACGAUAGUCACCCCGGGCUGGAUAUCGGGAUUGCCGGCCUUGCCGAUGGCGGCGAUGCGCCCGGCCUUCAGACCGAUAUCGGCCUUCUCCACCCCCCACCAGUCCAGGAUCAGCGCAUUGGUGAUCACCGUGUCCAUCACCUCGGCAUCGAGGCGCUGGCUCUGGCCCAUGCCGUCGCGGAU
Molecule: small RNA, 286 nt
Filed under: Chitinimonas taiwanensis DSM 18899
Lineage: Bacteria; Pseudomonadati; Pseudomonadota; Betaproteobacteria; Neisseriales; Chitinibacteraceae
Description: 5' ureB small RNA
Rfam family: 5' ureB small RNA
Source: Rfam by way of RNAcentral